GUCAUUGUCCCCCGCCGGGCGGCUGGGCUGUGUGCGGCGGCGGCGGCGGCGGCGGCCGAGGGGGAUGGAGCGAGCGCCGAGCCGGGUCAGAGUUGAACAAUGACCAUAGUUGACAAAGCUUCUGAAUCCUCAGACCCACCAGCCUAUCAGAAUCAGCCUGGCAGCUCAGAGGCGGCCUCACCUGGAGACAUGGAUGCAGGUUCUGCCAGCUGGGGGGCCGUGUCUUCGUUAAAUGAUGUCUCAAACCACACGCUUUCUCUAGGACCAGUACCUGGUGCUGUAGUUUAUUCCACUUCAUCUGUACCUGAUAAAUCAAAGCCGUCACCACAAAAGGAUCAAGCCCUAGGUGAUGGCAUUGCUCCUCCACAAAAAGUUCUUUUCCCAUCUGAGAAAAUUUGUCUUAAGUGGCAACAAACUCACAGAGUUGGAGCCGGGCUCCAGAAUUUGGGCAACACCUGUUUUGCCAAUGCAGCAUUGCAGUGUUUGACUUACACGCCGCCUCUUGCCAAUUACAUGCUAUCACAUGAGCACUCCAAGACAUGUCACGCAGAAGGAUUUUGUAUGAUGUGUACCAUGCAAGCACAUAUCACCCAGGCACUCAGUAAUCCUGGGGAUGUUAUUAAGCCGAUGUUUGUCAUUAAUGAGAUGCGGCGUAUAGCUAGGCACUUCCGCUUUGGAAACCAAGAAGAUGCCCAUGAAUUCCUUCAGUACACUGUUGAUGCUAUGCAAAAAGCAUGCUUGAAUGGCAGCAAUAAAUUAGACAGACACACCCAAGCUACCACACUCGUUUGUCAGAUAUUUGGAGGAUACCUAAGAUCUAGAGUUAAGUGUUUAAAUUGCAAAGGUGUCUCAGAUACGUUCGAUCCGUAUCUCGAUAUAACGUUGGAGAUAAAGGCUGCUCAGAGUGUGAACAAGGCACUGGAGCAGUUCGUGAAGCCCGAGCAGCUCGACGGGGAAAACUCGUACAAGUGCAGCAAGUGUAAAAAGAUGGUUCCAGCUUCCAAGAGGUUUACUAUACACAGAUCCUCUAAUGUUCUUACACUUUCUCUGAAACGGUUUGCAAAUUUUACUGGUGGAAAAAUCGCUAAGGAUGUGAAAUACCCUGAGUACCUUGACAUCCGACCGUACAUGUCUCAACCAAACGGGGAACCGAUUAUUUAUGUCCUGUAUGCAGUACUGGUCCACACUGGCUUUAACUGCCAUGCUGGCCACUACUUCUGCUACAUCAAAGCUAGCAAUGGCCUCUGGUAUCAAAUGAAUGACUCCAUCGUAUCCACCAGUGAUAUUAGAUCGGUACUCAGUCAACAAGCUUACGUACUCUUUUAUAUCAGGUCCCACGAUGUGAAAAAUGGAGGUGAACUCACGCAUUCCACUCACAGCCCCGGCCAGUCCUCGCCCCGACCCGUAAUCAGCCAGCGGGUUGUCAGCAACAAACAGGCCGCAUCAGGGUUUAUGGGACCACAGCUUCCCUCUCAUGUGAUAAAGAACCCACCUCACUUAAAUGGGACCGGACCAUUGAAAGAAGCACCGAGCAGCUCCAUGUCAAGUCCUAGUGGAAAUUCCAGUGUCAGCCGGGCCGGGUCUGUUAAUGCUUCGACUUCUGUUCAGAACUGGUCCGUUAACAGGCCCUCUGUGAUUCCAGAACAUCCCAAGAAACAAAAAAUCACGAUCAGUAUUCACAACAAGUUACCUGUUCGCCAAGGCCAGUCUCAGCCCAGCCUUCACGGCCCUUCUCUGGACACCCCGAGCAAGCCGGUUCCCUCCUCCACCGUCACCAGUUCUGCAAUGCAGUCUACCUCGAGCGCAUCUAUGACAGCAGUUUCUGGCAAAGUCACGAAGCAGAUGACCCCGAGUGAGUCCUGUUCUAAGCCUGUGAUGAACGGCAAGUCCAAGCUGCGCUCCAGUGUCCUGGUGCCCUACGGUGCCGAGUCGUCCGAGGAGUCUGACGAGGAGGCAAAGGGCCUGGGCAAGGAGAACGGUCUCGGUACGAUCGAGAGCUCGAACUCUUCCGUGCAGGAUGCUGAAGACGACGAGGCCUCUCCGCUCGAGCUUCGAGAGCCUGUUGCUCUAAAUGGUGCUGACAGUCCAGACAGCGACCUGAAAGAGAACGGUCUGCCCUGCGAUGGUGCCCGCUGCCCAGUCCAGCCUGCCCUACACUCAGAAAAUCCCUUUUCUAAGGCGAACGGUCUUCCCGGAAAGUCGAUGCCCGCUCCCCUGCCCCCUCUCCCGGAAGACAACAUCUUAGAGACCUUCAAACUCGGCAGCAAAGUGAAAGGCGCCACCGAAGAGACCAGUUCACCUGGAACCGAGGAAGGUCCUGCAGAGGAUCCCGGCGCAGAGCUCGAGCCUGGCAGCCCCUCUCCUGAUUCCCGGGAGAAACCGGAGACGCUCACGAGUCUUAGCAGCAAAUUAAAGAAGGCCUCGCCACCCUCGGACCCCAGCAUCCAAUCUACCAAAGAAGAAGUCUCUGAAAACAUUGCAGCAAAACCCGAGGAGUUUUCGCCCGGUGCCGACGAUCUCUGCGGCAGCACCAGGAACGGCGCGGGGGACGAUCCGCUCCCUAAGCCUUGCGGCCCCGGGGAUUUAACAGACGACCAGAGCAGACCAGCCCAGGCUGCAUCAGGGACGCGCACAGACAGCCCGCGGGCCUCGGCCGCCGUGGAGGCGGCGCAGGGUUCGAGCCCAAGUCCCCCGGCUCGUUCCGAGGGCGCCUGCGAGGACGAGCCCUUCUGCGUCAGCGGAGACAAGCGCGCGGACACGGACACGGAGGGCCCUUGGAAGGGCGCGGGCGCGGCCGCCGCCGACCUCCCCUCUCCCCAAGUAGACACGGGUACAGAGCAUCGCUCGGAAGGGGGCCCCGAGCAGAGUCACGGUGAAAAACGUGAAGAAAAUAAGGUGGGACAGAAAAUUCCAGAUCGCUCUCCGGUUAAGGAAAAAAUCAGUAUCCUCAGAAGAGUUGACCGAGGACAUUAUCGCAACCGAAGAGAUCGUUCCUCCAGCGGAGAACGCGCGAGGGAGAGCCGGAGCAAGACCGAGGACCGCUACCACCGAAAGCGGCGCUCGUACACGAGGGAGCGGCCCAGGCAGGACCGCUACAGGACGGAGCACUGCGGCGGGAGCCAGCACCACCCCUGCCACGGCGAGCGGGCCAGCCCCGGCGAGCCGCGCUCCCUGGCCAGGUACGGCCACCACCACCCUCGGAGCCGGGGCGGCUCGGAGCAGGAGUGGGGCCGGUACCACCACUCGGAGGGCGAGCACCCCUGGGCCCGGGAGAAGUACUACCCCGAGAAGCUGCGCUGGGACAAGUGCCGGUAUUACCACGACAGGUACGCCCUGUACGCGGCGCGGGAGUGGAGGCCCUUCCACGAGCGCCCGUACGACAAGGCGGCCGCGGCCGGCCGGCCCUACCGGGACUGCUACAGGAGCAGGAAGGGCUGCGAGGCGGCCGCUAAGGGGAAGGGUCGGCACCGCUUCAGCCCCCGCGCAGGCCCGCCCCCUGCGCCCCUCCCCUACCCCGAGAAGCACCCCCACGAGAAGCUCGCGCCUGGAGCCGAAGACGACACCUGUGACCUCGCCGGCCGGUUUCACGACCACGAGAACGUCAAGUCGCGGAAACGGAGGUACGACAGCCUGGAAAACGGCGACGGUCGCGGAGAAAAGAGAGCCUGGAGAGGCGCACAGAAGGAGCCUUUAGAAGAGCCGAAAGCGAAGAAGCACAAAAAAUCAAAGAAGAAAAAGAAAUCCAAAGACAAACACCGAGACCGAGAUUCCAGGCAUCAGCAGGAUUCCGAUCUUUCGGUCGCGUGCUCUGAUGCCGACCUCCACAGACACAAAAAAAAGAAGAAGAAAAAGAAGAGGCACUCAAGGAAAUCCGAGGACUUUGUUAAAGACUCAGAGCCACACCUCCCCAAGGCCGCCAGCCAUGAGACUGUUGACCGUUUCCGGAGAACGGACGGCGCUUUCCCCCUCACUGAUGGGCUGCCUCUGGAAGGCGUUGGGCCUUUCUGUGAGAAGAGAAAACAUUUAAGGAUGGGAAGCAGGGAUGACAGGUGUCCUCUGUCUGAGUGUGGCCAGGGUAAGAGGCGAUACUUGGAAUUAAGAAUAUAGAAACGAUUUCUUGCUGACACGCGGGAAGAGACCCUCACGUGGCACGAAAGGGUGGACCCUUCGGUAGGAGCCCCGCCGCCCCGGUCCAGCCCCGGCUCCCAGGCAGAGCGCGGGCUUCGGUGGCGCGGUGUGGGGACCCGGAACCGGUCCCUUAGUGCUGAUGGAGAACCUCGGUGACGUGGAGCCGGGCUCAGCAGAGCCUCUGUGACGAGGCCGCUGGAGGUUGUGGCUCUGGGGGUGUGUGUGUGGCUCCUGAAGGACCAGAACUUCUGUUUCUAAGCCAUUUCUGAUAGAAACGUUUUCACCGUAUUUUCUUUCUUAAACCUCUAGACCUCGGAGUGCGAGCUUAAACUCAGCUCGAGGGCUCGGGUCAUUAGGAACAUCCGCUGUCGCUGUCGGCCGGCCUGGCCUCUCGGGGCACCUGGACUGCGGGGCGCUGGCUCCUGCUGCGCGGCUCCCCCCAGGCCGGGGCGCCGCGGGGGCUGGAUUCUUAGCGCCUGGCACCGCUGUCUCCGCCCUCUGUGCUCACACCGCGCUUAAAGCCGCCCCCGUCCCUCGAUCCGGUUUGUGCGGGUGACCCACGGGCCGGGCGAGGUGUCCCCGCUGGUCCCCGUGUGGCCUGCCAGCUAAGAAAGGCUUUCCGGGUUUUAAAUGGCUGGAGGCACCCGAAGGGGAAGACGGUUGUCCUCUGGCCUUUUGUACAAACGGCCCCAGACGCCCUGAGGUGUGCUCUUGGGACUUUGAUGCGUCGUCUUGGUGACCCAGAGGCCCUCUGGUUGUGUGUUUUGAGGGCAGACCGGUCCCUCCAGCGGCCCCCGGUCGGUGUGGUUGUUGACCGAGGAGGGACAGAGGGGCCCCGAGCGUGAGGGAGGCAGUGUCCCAGCGGGAGGGACACGGGAGGCUCGGGGCAGAGAAGCGUGGCCGUGGCCGGCCAGACGGUGACGCGGGGCCGUUGUCUGCCCUGGGCUUUUUUUAAGGUGUUGAUGAUACGGAAUUUCAGAUCGGUGUCCCGUGACCCUUUUGGUGAUUUGGGAAAGGGGCUUGGCCUGGUGAGGGUCAAGUCCCUUCUGACCACCGCCUAGUACUUGGGAGGAAGUGGUGGGCGGCGUCCCAGCCGUUCUGCCUGUUGCCAGACACCCACCCCCCCCCCCCCCCCGCCCCGGGCUGCAGGUGCCUGGUGAGGACCACGGUCGGUGGCCGCCAGCACACAUUGGUGGCGCCGGAGGGAAAACGGGUUGAGUGUAAGCCUGAGCCUUUGGCAUUUGGGGGCCACACGUGUGUUCCUAGGGGCUGCGAUACGCCUCUGUGUUGAGCGGUGGCCCUUUGUGCCCUGGGCGAUGGCACUCGAAGGCUGGUGUGCGGCCAGCGCUUCCGGGGAGAGCAGACGGAGGAAUCCGCGUGCCUGUCCCAUCCUGUCCUCUUCAAGGACAGGGACCACCUGCUUGGCCUUCCAUGCCAAACAUCCCUGUCUUCUGGCUGAGGAUGACAGACCCUGUGGCCCACCUGCCACGUGUCCCCUGUUCCUGGUAACUUGACCUGUCAGACUCCCGUCUUCCGGCCCCACGACACGCUGCCUGGUUUCUUUGGCCUGAGAUCUGCUCUCUCCUGCGGGGACAGUGCUGACGGGUGUGGGCGGAGAGGGCCCCCCGUCCCCACAGGCACGGCUUUCGGUGCAUCUCAGCCAUCACGGAGGGUCUUGUUUCCAGUAGAAGGCUUGGCGACAGCGCGCGCCGGCUCGUCUCGUCCUCGUCCCGUGCGGGGACGGAUUUCGGGCAGCGAGCACCCAGCCGCCGAGAAGGGGUUCUGAUUGUAAUCACUUGCGCCCACACAGCAGCAGGCACGGAACAUUCUGCAAAACCGUCAUUAAAAUCUCUUUCCUGAUCUUUGCUUUCUAGGUGAUUGAAAACUUGGCCUCAAAACAAAAAACUCACUAGUUAUGAUUCAGCGUGUUCCACAGAAGCCAUCCCCAACCCAGCUUAAAUUAUAAAUGUAGAAAUAACUCUGUUCAAAUCUGCGUGGUGCUUCUUUAGUAAAUACUGUACAGAUUUUACCAUGGAGGACUUUUUUUUAGUUUUUACCUUUUCUUAACUCCCCUUAUUCCAAACGGACGAACCCUUUCUACAACUGCUGACCGUUGUAAACAGCGUGUACAUAAAUCCCACGGACAGUGACGCCCUGGACUGGAACAUCUCAAUGCUGCUUAAUCAGACUCAGGUGGACUGCUCGCAUUCCAUGGAAAAGCUCCUUCAAGCCAGACCUCCGGUGCGAGAGCAGCCGGGAAACCAUGGAAUUAGUAAAAGUACAAACAAACUGACAGUGUGUAUAUUUAAUUUAAAGACUUAUUUAAAGAUUCACGAGCUCUCGACUAGACUUGGGAGCAGUCUGUUUUCUGUAAUGUCUGAUACUAGAAACUAAUUCGCUUCAUAUUUUAGUUGUAUUCAAGAUUUGAAAAUGUAUUUUGUAGACAAGUUCUGUUUUUGAACUUUGUGGAACUAUUCCAAUCGAUUUACCAGUUAUGAUGAGUAUUUACAUUAUGAAUGUAUAAUCCAAACAUUAUUUGUAAAGCCUACAGUAUGUUUUUAUUACUUAACACUUUUUUAUACAGUGUCUCUUGUCUUGACUAUGAUAUUGGAGUCUGAGUUGUCAGCUUGGUCCCUUAAAGUUUCUAGUUACAGACAAAAUCAUACUGUGAUUUUAUUUUUAAUAUGGAUAUGCUAUCAAACUGUGAUACACUUAUAAUUCACUGGUCCUGCAUCAGGAGACGGAGUGGGGAAAACUGUAUUUAAUACAGUUUGUAUCUGAAUAAUCUGUAUGGUUUAUACAGUUUGUGUUGUUCAGAGAUGUCUAAAGUUUGAUCUUUGUUUUUUUAAAGAUUAAAAAAAGCACUCGCCCCACUGUAAAUACACAGCAUGUAAAGUUUAUAUAGUAUAUAAAUGGCAGCAAAUUCA
RNA transcript from Lynx canadensis (Canada lynx), 7055 nucleotides. It is a transcript of the gene named ubiquitin specific peptidase 42, with no coding region annotated. The transcript has 17 exons. The record is from RefSeq and is a predicted model, not a curated record. NCBI's taxonomy places the organism in Eukaryota, Metazoa, Chordata, Mammalia, Carnivora, Felidae.